GACGAACGCUGGCGGCGUGCCUAAUACAUGCAAGUAGAACGCUGAAGGAAGAGCUUGCUUCUCUGGAUGAGUUGCGAACGGGUGAGUAACGCGUAGGUAACCUGCCUGGUAGCGGGGGAUAACUAUUGGAAACGAUAGCUAAUACCGCAUAAUAGUAGAUGUUGCAUGACAUUUGCUUAAAAGGUGCAAUUGCAUCACUACCAGAUGGACCUGCGUUGUAUUAGCUAGUUGGUGGGGUAACGGCUCACCAAGGCGACGAUACAUAGCCGACCUGAGAGGGUGAUCGGCCACACUGGGACUGAGACACGGCCCAGACUCCUACGGGAGGCAGCAGUAGGGAAUCUUCGGCAAUGGACGGAAGUCUGACCGAGCAACGCCGCGUGAGUGAAGAAGGUUUUCGGAUCGUAAAGCUCUGUUGUAAGAGAAGAACGAGUGUGAGAGUGGAAAGUUCACACUGUGACGGUAUCUUACCAGAAAGAGACGGCUAACUACGUG
This 495-nucleotide ribosomal RNA is filed under the name uncultured bacterium. RNAcentral's name for it is "partial 16S ribosomal RNA". It matches the Rfam family "Bacterial small subunit ribosomal RNA", at positions 28 to 507 of the family's 1533-position model. The record is from RNAcentral.